GACCCCAGGUCAGGCGGGAUUACCCGCUG
RNAcentral lists this ribosomal RNA (29 nucleotides) under Scrophularia frigida subsp. haussknechtii. RNAcentral describes it as "partial 28S ribosomal RNA". The record is from RNAcentral. Lineage: Eukaryota; Viridiplantae; Streptophyta; Magnoliopsida; Lamiales; Scrophulariaceae.